UAAAAUUUAAUGAUGUAUAUUUUGUAAACAAAAUUAAAUCUAUAAGAUAUCAAAAAUCUCAAAUUAACGAAAUUAAGUUAAUAAUAAUUUGAUUUAGAUUAAUUUAUGUCAAGAUAAAUUAAAUUAAAUAGUAAAAUUAAAAACAAUUUUUUUUUUAGUUUUACAAGUUUUAAGAAUUUUAAAUUUCACUAUUUUUUAUAAACAUGAAAUUCCAAUAAAGAAAUGACAAUAUCAUGCACAAUUGUUCAAGAUGACUUAUGUAUCUAUGUUUUUUAUAGCAAUCUGAAAAAUGCGGACAACCUAAGGUUCUAUUAAACAAAAUGUGUUAUUUUGCAUGAAAUAAGUAAGAUCAUGAUCAUCCGAAUAAUGUUGAAAAUAAUUAACAAUCAAUUGAAGAAUUUGGUGCAAAAACAAGAUUACUGCAUUUUUCAAAAAUUUCAAGAAGCUGAAAAAACUAGACAUUUUUACGCAUGUAUCCUUUCCUACCAGUAAACAAAAUAACAACAGACGACCGAUAGCGAUAAAUGUCGAGGCUCAUGACAAGGUCAGAAGUCGAGAAAUCAUGAUGAGAAGUUGUCAGAAGCACUUACCGCGUCGGAAGAAAGAGAAAACUUAAGAAAUAUCAAACAAAAACAUCAGAUGUGCCGACUAAGGUGUCGGUUAAGUUAUAAUUAUUGUAGAUAGAAGGAGCUAUUAACAACCGCAUCACAAUUAAUCCAAUCGAUUCACCCCAACACUGUACGGAUGCAUUUCCGCCAUAAUAUAGUUUCCGGCAAAAGGGGUUUAGUGCGAUUGUUUGGUGUACACAUCACGGAAAACGUUUAUUAAAAACGCAUACCUAUGAAGAACUACAAUCGAUGGCUCAAUGACCUCGCUGACAAUCGUCACCACAGUGUAUAACAGGCGGUUCCAGUGUGUUUUACGUUGAUAGAAUACGUUAUGUGCAUAGAAAAGAAUGCGUCUGUCGAUGAUAACCACAGCGACCCUAUUGUUGGUGAGACGACGUCAAUCCGAUCGACAGUUGCACUACGUAUAGUAUUGAUUUCGUAUUAUUUAUUUAUCUAUUCCAAUCUGAAUGAGAGUAAUUUCUAAACAGAUAACGGUAAUAGGACGGACAUUGAUGGGAUAACGAGUGCAAAACGCGGAACUUCCAAUAAGACAUGGUUUUAAUAGAUUGUUUGAUUCUACAUCGUGUUAUCUUCACAGUAUUUGAGGAAUUAAAGGCGGCACUGCAUAUCGUUAUGUUAACGAGUGAACAAUAGCCAAUUAUAUCAACACUGAAAUUUAUGAUUAUGUUAACUUAAUAAAGAGUGUAAAUAGUCAAUAAUAUACAAACUGUAUAACAAACAUCUUUAAAAUAUAUGAAUUAGUAAUGGCUAAUAUUGCACUAUAAUAUCUAUACAUUUAUUUUUUUAUUUAAAAUAAAAUCAUAUUUCGUCACUUCAGUUUAUUGGAAUCCGGGCUUAACAUUUAAUUUAUAGCAAAAAAUAUUCCAAUUUACAUUUUAGAUAUGUAAAUUAGAAGUAAACAAAUCUCAUAAAUAUUUUCGUGAAAUAAAUGGUACACUUAAGACACGUAUAUUUCAAAAAACUCUAUCAGUAACCUUUCACUUUAAUUAGAAAUUGGAGAAAUUGACCAUUAAUUGAUGUCAUUCUCAUAUAAUUAAAUUAU
Molecule: long non-coding RNA, 1671 nt
Organism: Daktulosphaira vitifoliae (grape phylloxera)
Lineage: Eukaryota; Metazoa; Arthropoda; Insecta; Hemiptera; Phylloxeridae
Exons: 3
Source: RefSeq, a predicted model, not a curated record